CGGGACGGGUGAGUAGCGCGUGGGUAACCUGCCUCAUACAGGGGGAUAACAGUUAGAAAUGACUGCUAAUACCGCAUAAGCACACAGUACCGCAUGGUACAGUGUGAAAAACUCCGGUGGUAUGAGAUGGACCCGCGUCUGAUUAGCUUGUUGGCGGGGUAACGGCCCACCAAGGCGACGAUCAGUAGCCGACCUGAGAGGGUGACCGGCCACAUUGGGACUGAGACACGGCCCAA
RNAcentral lists this ribosomal RNA (236 nucleotides) under uncultured bacterium. RNAcentral describes it as "partial 16S ribosomal RNA". It matches the Rfam family "Bacterial small subunit ribosomal RNA", at positions 100 to 334 of the family's 1533-position model. The record is from RNAcentral.